This 680-nucleotide long non-coding RNA is filed under the name Homo sapiens (human). Its description in RNAcentral is "non-protein coding lnc-PPIAL4F-14:1". Lineage: Eukaryota; Metazoa; Chordata; Mammalia; Primates; Hominidae. The record is from RNAcentral.
AUAAAGAUGUUCUUCUGAUAGGGAGUGCCCUAUGAGGCCACCUUCACAUGGUGAGUAAUGACCCCGACACCUCUGCAACAUCCCCGAUCACUUGGAGCACCUGAAUGGAUCAGCGGGAGCAGAUCACUUCUUUUCUUCAGGGCAAGGGAACACACCUCCGUGCACUUUCCAGUUAAGAACAGGAACUAGUCACAAAUGAAAAGCUAAGUCCGAAUGUUCAAAACAACAUGCUACAUAAAACGAAACCACCAGAGCAUACCUGCCAAUACCUUGGCCCAGAUCUUCCUGCUGAGGAACAGAGGCAGAAAAGGCAGAAGCUCUCUGGGGAGCUCUUUGCCUGACUGUGACCCAAACUUUCUGUCCUGACGCAGAGGUGGAAAAGGCAGUUAUUUCCCCCUGAAACUCAAAUCUCUUACUCACAGGGUAAAGACAGAAAACCUCCGUUCUAGAAAGGGAGAGCUGGAAAGGACACUCAAGCAAACUCCAGGCCUUCAACCAAAGAGUGGGAAGGUCCAGAUUUCAGGAGGAUUCACCACUUACUACUGCCCAACUCUUUCUCUCAGAGUCAGAACUCAAGGGCUUCAGAUCUGGCCAGGCACCCAGUCCAGGAGGAAUGUGGUGUGAUCUGAGAGAUGAAAAUACAUGCCCCCUUAGAGACUAAGGCAGACUCGAAAGUUAAG